CCUACGGGAGGCAGCAGUGGGGAAUAUUGCACAAUGGGGGAAACCCUGAUGCAGCAACGCCGCGUGAGUGAAGAAGUAUUUCGGUAUGUAAAGCUCUAUCAGCAGGGAAGAAAAUGACAGUACCUGACUAAGAAGCCCCGGCUAACUACGUGCCAGCAGCCGCGGUAAUACGUAGGGGGCAAGCGUUAUCCGGAUUUACUGGGUGUAAAGGGAGCGUAGACGGCUGCGCAAGUCAGAAGUGAAAGCCCGGGGCUCAACCGCGGGACUGCUUUUGAAACUGUGUAGCUAGAGUACAGGAGAGGUAAGUGGAAUUCCUAGGGUAGCGGUGAAAUGCGUAGAUAUUAGGAGGAACACCGGUGGCGAAGGCGGCGUACUGGACUGUAACUGACGUUGAGGCUCGAAAGCGUGGGGAGCAAACAGGAUUAGAUACCCUAGUAGUC
RNAcentral lists this ribosomal RNA (440 nucleotides) under uncultured bacterium. Its description in RNAcentral is "partial 16S ribosomal RNA". It matches the Rfam family "Bacterial small subunit ribosomal RNA", at positions 338 to 795 of the family's 1533-position model. The record is from RNAcentral.